CCUACGGGUGGCAGCAGUAGGGAAUAUUGGGCAAUGGUGGCAACACUGACCCAGCCAUGCCGCGUGCAGGAAGAAGGCGUUAUGCGUUGUAAACUGCUUUUGACAGGGAAGAAAUCGGGGGUGCGCCCCUAGUUGACGGUACCUGUAGAAUAAGCACCGGCUAACUCCGUGCCAGCAGCCGCGGUAAUACGGAGGGUGCAAGCGUUGUCCGGAUUUAUUGGGUUUAAAGGGUGCGUAGGCGGCCCUGUAAGUCUGUCGUGAAAUACCCCGGCUUA
Molecule: ribosomal RNA, 275 nt
Filed under: uncultured bacterium
Lineage: Bacteria
Description: partial 16S ribosomal RNA
Rfam family: Bacterial small subunit ribosomal RNA
Source: RNAcentral